Non-coding RNA from Danio rerio (zebrafish), 1705 nucleotides. The record is from Ensembl. NCBI's taxonomy places the organism in Eukaryota, Metazoa, Chordata, Actinopteri, Cypriniformes, Danionidae.
UGCUGCAGUAAAAAAGUUUUAUGUGAAGUACAGAUAUAGUAUGGAUGUCCUGUAUAGGAACUGACCAUUGUUUUUUUCUACUUAUUUGAAUUGGGGUCUUUAGAACACUUUGAAACAUAUUAUAUACAAUUUCUCCAAAACACUGCAGUAAAAAGGUUUCAUGUGAAGUACACAUAUAGUAUGGGAUGUCCUGUAUAAGAACUGACCAUAGAUUUUUUUCUACCUAUUUAAAAUGUGGUCUUUAUAGUAUUUUAUAUUAUGUUAAUACCCCGUUUUUUUUAAAAUGCUGCAGUAAAAACGCUUCAUGUGAAGUACAUAUAUAGUAUGGUAUGUCCUGUAUAAGAACUGACCAUUGUUUUUUUCUACUUAUUAGAAAUGGGGUUUUUAUAUCACUUUAUAAUAGGUUAAUACCCAGUUUCUCCAAAACACUGCAGUAAAAAAGAUUUCAUGUGAAGUACACAUAUAGUAUGAGAUGUCCUGAAUAAGAACUGACCAUUGUUUAUUUCUACUUAAUCGAAAUGGGGUCUUUAUAACACUUUAUAUUAUGUUAAUGUCCCACUUCUCCAGAUUGCUGGAGUAAGAAGUGUUUAUAUGUAGUAUGCAUAUUGUAUGUGAUGUUCUGUACAGGUACUGAUCAUUGUUUUUUGUCUAUUUAUUUAAAAUUGGGUCUUCAUAACACUUUGAGUAAUGUUAAUGCCCAAUUUCUCCAAAACGCUGCAGUAACAAGUCUUUAUAUGAGGUUUAGUAUGGGAUGUCCUGUAUAAGACCUGACUAUUGUUUUUUUUUUCUACAUCUUUUAAAUGAGCAAUUUUUUUUUCCAAAUUGCUGCAGUAAAAAGGAUUCAUUUGUUGUAUAUAUGCAUAUAGCAUGGGACAUCUAGUAUCAGACCUGAUCACUCUUUUAUUUAACUUAUUCCAAACAAUGUAUUUAUAACACUUUAAAGACUUUAUAGCUCAUUAAUAGCCCAUUUCUCCAAAAUGCUGCAGUAAGGUAUGCAUAAAUAUUGGAUGUCCUGUCCAUAGUUUUCUUCUGUUAACUUAAAUGAGGUCUUUCACAUGAGGUAUGCAUGUACAUCCUGUAUCAGAACCAAACUUUGUUUUUUUCCUACUUAUUUCUUUAUAGCUCUUUAAAGUGUGUUAAUGGUACAUUUCUCCAAAAUGCUGCAGUAAAACAGGCUUCAUAUGAUGUAUGCUUAGUAUUUGACUUCCUGCAUCGAUCUUAUUGUUGUUCUAUUCUACUUAUAACAAAUAAUAAGGUCUUUACAGUCAUCUAAAGUGUAAUAAUGCCCCAUAUCCCAUAUACUGAAAGAAGCAUACAUUUUUAAAUCCCCUUUAAAAAAAACCAAUAUAUAUUUGUAACUUAAACAAUGCUAUGUUGGACUACUUCAUGAUUAUUUUCACUUUCUGAGGUUAGGCACGUUGUAUAAAAUUGCAUUCAACCUUAUUUGCAAUCUACUGUAGUUGGCUAGGAGAAAUAAAAACGCAUUCUGUGUAUUUAGAAAUCGUAUAUUUAUUCUGUCCGUUUGAUCUGCUAUAAAAUCAUUUGAAGCAAAAAGAUAAACUUGAGGAAAUUAAAGGUAAGCCCAGAAACCAAUUUCUUAAAAUAACAACAGUCAAAAAAGCUAUUAAAUUGUUUAAUAAAGCAUACGUGGGAGGAAAGGGGGAUAAAUUUAUAUUUCGUUGUCAUCUCUCUGUUCAGGGCGAAA